RNAcentral lists this ribosomal RNA (434 nucleotides) under uncultured bacterium. RNAcentral's name for it is "partial 16S ribosomal RNA". It matches the Rfam family "Bacterial small subunit ribosomal RNA", at positions 29 to 507 of the family's 1533-position model. The record is from RNAcentral.
AUGCACACUGGCGGUAUGCUUAACACAUGCAAGUCGCACGGACUCUUCGGAGUUAGUGGCGGACGGGUGAGUAACGCGUGAGAAUCUGGCUUUGGGUUCGGGACAACCACUGGAAACGGUGGCUAAUACCGGAUGUGCCGAGAGGUAAAAGAGAAAUUGCCUGAAGAUGAGCUCGCGUCUGAUUAGCUAGUUGGUGAGGUAAAGGCUCACCAAGGCAGCGAUCAGUAGCUGGUCUGAGAGGAUGACCAGCCACACUGGGACUGAGACACGGCCCAGACUCCUACGGGAGGCAGCAGUGGGGAAUUUUCCGCAAUGGGCGAAAGCCUGACGGAGCAAUACCGCGUGAGGGAAGAAGGCUCUUGGGUUGUAAACCUCUUUUCUUAGGGAAGAACAAAAUGACGGUACCUAAGGAAUCAGCAUCGGCUAACUCCGUG